GAUGAACGCUGGCGGCGUGCCUAAUACAUGCAAGUCGAGCGAACAGACGAGGAGCUUGCUCCUCUGACGUUAGCGGCGGACGGGUGAGUAACACGUGGAUAACCUACCUAUAAGACUGGGAUAACUUCGGGAAACCGGAGCUAAUGCCGGAUAAUAUAUUGAACCGCAUGGUUCAAUAGUGAAAGACGGUUUUGCUGUCACUUAUAGAUGGAUCCGCGCCGCAUUAGCUAGUUGGUAAGGUAACGGCUUACCAAGGCAACGAUGCGUAGCCGACCUGAGAGGAUGAUCGGCCACACUGGAACUGAGACACGGUCCAGACUCCUACGGGAGGCAGCAGUAGGGAAUCUUCCGCAAUGGGCGAAAGCCUGACGGAGCAACGCCGCGUGAAUGAUGAAGGUCUUCGGAUCGUAAAACUCUGUUAUUAGGGAAGAACAAAUGUGUAAGUAACUAUGCACGUCUUGACGGUACCUAAUCAGAAAGCCACGGCUAACUACGUG
This 497-nucleotide ribosomal RNA is filed under the name uncultured bacterium. RNAcentral's name for it is "partial 16S ribosomal RNA". It matches the Rfam family "Bacterial small subunit ribosomal RNA", at positions 28 to 507 of the family's 1533-position model. The record is from RNAcentral.